This 506-nucleotide ribosomal RNA is filed under the name uncultured bacterium. RNAcentral's name for it is "partial 16S ribosomal RNA". It matches the Rfam family "Bacterial small subunit ribosomal RNA", at positions 28 to 523 of the family's 1533-position model. The record is from RNAcentral.
GAUGAACGCUAGCUACAGGCUUAACACAUGCAAGUCGAGGGGUAACGAGAGGAAAGCUUGCUUUCCUCGUCGACGACCGGCGCACGGGUGAGUAACGCGUAUCCAACCUGCCCCCAACUAGGGAAUAACCUUGCGAAAGUAAGACUAAUACCCUAUAAUUUCCUCAGAUGUCAUCUGACGAGGAAUAAAGAUUUAUCGGUUGUGGAUGGGGAUGCGUCUGAUUAGCUUGUUGGCGGGGUAACGGCCCACCAAGGCAACGAUCAGUAGGGGUUCUGAGAGGAAGGUCCCCCACAUUGGGACUGAGACACGGUCCAAACUCCUACGGGAGGCAGCAGAGAGGAAUAUUGGUCAAUGGGCGGAAGCCUGAACCAGCCAAGUAGCGUGCAGGAUGACGGCCCUAUGGGUUGUAAACUGCUUUUAUACAGGAAUAAAGUUAGCCACGUGUGGUUAUUUGUAGGUACUGUAUGAAUAAGGACCGGCUAAUUCCGUGCCAGCCGCCGCCGUAA